Molecule: ribosomal RNA, 490 nt
Filed under: uncultured bacterium
Lineage: Bacteria
Description: partial 16S ribosomal RNA
Rfam family: Bacterial small subunit ribosomal RNA
Source: RNAcentral
AUUGAACGCUGGCGGCAGGCCUAACACAUGCAAGUCGAAUGGUAACAGGAAACAGCUUGCUGUUUCGCUGACGAGUGGCGGACGGGUGAGUAAUGUCUGGGAGACUGCCUGAUGGAGGGGGAUAACUACUGGAAACGGUAGCUAAUACCGCAUAACGUCGCAAGACCAAAGAGGGGGACCUUCGGGCCUCUUGCCAUCAGAUGUGCCCAGAUGGGAUUAGCUAGUAGGUGGGGUAACGGCUCACCUAGGCGACGAUCCCUAGCUGGUCUGAGAGGAUGACCAGCCACACUGGAACUGAGACACGGUCCAGACUCCUACGGGAGGCAGCAGUGGGGAAUAUUGCACAAUGGGCGCAAGCCUGAUGCAGCCAUGCCGCGUGUAUGAAGAAGGCCUUCGGGUUGUAAAGUACUUUCAGCGGGGAGGAAGGGAGUAAAGUUAAUACCUUUGCUCAUUGACGUUACCCGCAGAAGAAGCACCGGCUAACUCCGUG